Non-coding RNA from Bos taurus (domestic cattle), 73 nucleotides. The record is from Rfam. NCBI's taxonomy places the organism in Eukaryota, Metazoa, Chordata, Mammalia, Artiodactyla, Bovidae.
UCCCUGGUGGUUCAGUAGCUAAGACUCUGCACUAUCAAUGCAGAGAGCCCAGGUUCGAUCUCUGAUCAGGGAA